CCUACGGGCGGCUGCAGUGGGGAAUAUUGCACAAUGGGCGCAAGCCUGAUGCAGCCAUGCCGCGUGUGUGAAGAAGGCCUUCGGGUUGUAAAGCACUUUCAGCGGGGAGGAAGGCGUUAAGGUUAAUAACCUUGGCGAUUGACGUUACCCGCAGAAGAAGCACCGGCUAACUCCGUGCCAGCAGCCGCGGUAAUACGGAGGGUGCAAGCGUUAAUCGGAAUUACUGGGCGUAAAGCGCACGCAGGCGGUCUGUCAAGUCGGAUGUGAAAUCCCCGGGCUCAACCUGGGAACGGCAUUCGAAACUGGCAGGCUAGAGUCUUGUAGAGGGGGGUAGAAUUCCAGGUGUAGCGGUGAAAUGCGUAGAGAUCUGGAGGAAUACCGGUGGCGAAGGCGGCCCCCUGGACAAAGACUGACGCUCAGGUGCGAAAGCGUGGGGAGCAAACAGGAUUAGAUACCCCGGUAGUC
Molecule: ribosomal RNA, 465 nt
Filed under: uncultured Klebsiella sp.
Lineage: Bacteria; Pseudomonadati; Pseudomonadota; Gammaproteobacteria; Enterobacterales; Enterobacteriaceae
Description: bacterial SSU rRNA
Rfam family: Bacterial small subunit ribosomal RNA
Source: RNAcentral